CACCGGGACGGGAAUGCCCGCUGGAGCUGGGGGAGACCCCGGUCAGCCCUGCGGGACAGGGAGUGACUCUGCCCCUCUGCCCAGCCCUGUCAGGCACAUCUGGAGUGCUCUGUCCAGCUCUGGGUUCCUCAGCACAGCAGGGACGGGGAGCUCCUGGAGCGGGGCCAGCGAAAGCUGAGGGGCUGAGGAAGGGCCUGGAGGGCCUCGGUGCUCAGGAAAGCUGAGGGAGCUGGGGCUGCUCAGCCUCGAGAGGAGCCCGCAGCCCUGGGUGUCCCUGUGUGCAGGGAGGGGCAGAGCUGGAUCCAGGCUCUGCUCUGGGGGCCCAGAGCCACGGGCAGGGCCUGAGCCCAGAGACUUCCACCUGGACACCAGGCAGAACUUUACCAGCACUGGAACAGACUCUCCAGAGAGGGAGUAGAGUGUCCCUGUUACACUUUUACAUGACAAAGAAAGUGUCCCUCAUGUUAACAUGACCAUAGUGUGUCACUGGCUGCGUGCACUGCCCGUGGAUGAGGAUUUGCCUUGUGGUGAUCCAGUUCUCUUUUGUAUGAUCAUCCUUUGUAUGAUCCCGUUGUCGUCAUCAUCAGCUGUGUUUGGGUCAGGCUGCAAGCAGGAUCUGCAGUGUCCUCGUGAAGAUUUGAAAUACAGCUUGCUCCUUCAAAACAGCUCAAGUUUGGUCAAACCCACAGAGAACAGGAAAGCUCGCAGAGGGUGGAGGCAUGUCAGCACAGUGUGGUACACUCUAAAAUAUCAGCUGAAAUGACUAGGCUGGAGAAGUGGGAGGACUGAUAUUAGUCACAGCCGCUGCACAGCUCAGAAGAUGAAGGCUGGAGGAAUUACCGGACAGGCAUCUGCCACUCUGCCCAGACUCUGAAAACGUCUAUCUGGGCUUCAGAUCUCUUCAGCCUUCCUUCAGAAUGCCCCUCUUCCCCUUUCACUGUGACGCUCACUGCCUUGGCCACGCAGAGCAGCUGUGAUGUUAGAGAGUAGUUGAGUUCACCCCACAAACUGUACCAGCAACUUCCAUCUGGGAUCCCUGUGCUCCAGCCUUUUAUUCCGUGUCCCACUGGACAAGCUGCCACCAUCCAGCUCCAUGAGCUUCAGAGGGAUGAGGAUCUGUGCUGAGGUCACAGGGAGGUGUUUGCUGGGCUCUCCUCCUGCAGCAGCUCUGUGUCUGCACAGUGGGGCAGUGAUGCAUUCCCAUUUCCCAGCCCCUGUUCCCUCACCAUUCCUGGCACUCACAGCUCUCUGCACGUGGCCUGUCCUGCACAGAAGCCCUGGAUUUGUCCUGGUGACCACAACACACAACUGGGAUGAACUGGGAUGUCAGCACCAUGUCAGGCUCUGGGACUGCAGUGGUACCAAAUUAAUUUGGUUCAAGAAAAGGGGCAGUGUGUGCUCUGGGUGUGUGAGUUCCCCAGUUAUCACAGAAGAAAGCUUUCUGAACACCAGCAUUGUUCUAACAUGAUGAAUAUUUGCUUUGGUGUCUGCAGCUGAGGGAUUUUGAAGCAUUUUACACACUCCAGCUCACCUCUGUGUGCUCAUCUUGCUCACCCAGUGCAUCUGAAACCAUUGUUUAAACCUACUUUAUAUGCAGAAAGUGGGGUGACCUGACAAAUUUUGCAAGAAACAGCUGGUGUCAGCCACAAACUGAGCUCAGGAGCUUUCUUCUCCAGUUCAUGUAAAGUUCUUGUCCUGCAAAAAAUCCUGAAGCCAAAUGACUAAGAGAAAUGCAGAUCACACAGCAUUAUUUUGUCCUGGGGGGAGCACGGAUACUUCCAAAUUUCUGUACAAGGCUGAGCACAUCCCAUUUUGCCCAAACUAUCAAUUUUUGAUAGUUUUUAAGCCCAGGCUGUGUGCCUCGUGCCAGGUAUUGGUUGUGCUGGGCAGGUCAUGGGGACAGUUGGGUUUGAGCCAAGCCCCAAACACCCUGAGGAGCAGGACAGAGCUGGGCCCUGCUUUGUCCAGGUUUUGGUGGAGUGUGUCCUCCUGCUCAUUCAGAGAUGGGAGGAGGUUUGUACUCAGAUGAACUCCUCAAAAAAUACAAACACCACUUUGCUGUCAGACCCUCUACUCAGCCUGGAGAGGUUUGCGGGAUACAGACCCCUGAUGUAGCUGAAUUGUUACCAGAAGGUGUUUCAUUAAAUAGCCCAGAUCUGCCUCUGUUCUAUGCUGGUUUAUCUCCCUGCAGUGUAUCUGAUAAUCUUAUAUAUCACAUUUAACCAAGCCAAAAAUAAAACCUGCAGCAGACCUUCCUGAUUGUCUGUGACUGUCUGGAGAAGUGAUUUCCUCAGCCCUGUGAACUGGUGUGGAUUUGUUCUUACCCAGCUUUCAGCCUGUUUGCCACGUGCAAAUACUUCCUUAGUACUUGCUCCUCCAGAAACAUUUUAAUGUCAGCUAUCAUACCUUUUUCUUUGAAAGAAAAAAAAAAAGUCACGAUCAUUUACUCUAAUUUUCUGACAAAUUCUGAAAGUAAUUUUUGGAAUUGUACCAUUCCUCUGCCCUAAUUGGGUGCCUGGAAAGCAUCUUAACAGCUGUCAAGAAUUCUCAGGUGAGUAAAAUACAGUAUGAAAGCUCAUGAAAGUUAUAAGUGAGCUGUACUAGCUGAUGUUAUUAAAUCAUUUCAUUGGUUAGAACAUCCAGAGUAGUUCACCCUUCCCUCCAGGCUGGCCACUGAUUUUUUUAUAGCUUAUAUUGAAAUCUGCUUCCCAAACCAUUAUUUUCAGGAUGAUAAAGGUGAUAGCAGCCAAAGAAAAAAGACCCUCUCACCUUUCAUGGUGAAACUUGUCCUCCUAAAUGCAUUUGUUUGCUUUUAUGAUUUAUUUUCUUUUGAUCAGAACCAUCUGACCCUCGUGUUUAAAGGAAUGUUCUUUGCAGUUUUGAAGUCU
This is a long non-coding RNA of Passer domesticus (house sparrow), 2888 nucleotides long. RefSeq lists it as uncharacterized. The transcript has 2 exons. NCBI's taxonomy places the organism in Eukaryota, Metazoa, Chordata, Aves, Passeriformes, Passeridae. The record is from RefSeq and is a predicted model, not a curated record.